Non-coding RNA from Chiloscyllium plagiosum (whitespotted bambooshark), 136 nucleotides. The record is from RefSeq and is a predicted model, not a curated record. Lineage: Eukaryota; Metazoa; Chordata; Chondrichthyes; Orectolobiformes; Hemiscylliidae.
AAGGUGUGAACAAAUGAGGGUCUCCCAGUCCGGAUCAUACUCGCCCAAACCGCGAACGACAAGCAAGGGAGUCGGAGAUCACCGAAAUCGGCGAGGUCCACCUCCCCCGUCAUCCCAAGAGUGUCGAGCGGUCGGA